AGCUUUAUAUUCAUAAUAAUGAUAUUAGACUGCAAUUCUGAAGGAGUAAAGAAUAAUUACUAAAGCUUA
This 69-nucleotide transfer RNA is filed under the name Brillia brevicornis. Its description in RNAcentral is "tRNA-Cys". The record is from RNAcentral. Lineage: Eukaryota; Metazoa; Arthropoda; Insecta; Diptera; Chironomidae.